This is a non-coding RNA of Phrynosoma platyrhinos (Desert horned lizard), 72 nucleotides long. Lineage: Eukaryota; Metazoa; Chordata; Lepidosauria; Squamata; Phrynosomatidae. The record is from the annotation of a GenBank genome assembly.
GCCAGUGUGAUGUAGUGGCUUGAAUGUUGAACUUGCACUCUAGAGAUCAGGGUUCAAAUCCCCACUCAGCCA